RNAcentral lists this long non-coding RNA (6129 nucleotides) under Macaca mulatta (Rhesus monkey). RNAcentral describes it as "lncRNA (ENSMMUG00000055328.1)". The record is from RNAcentral. Lineage: Eukaryota; Metazoa; Chordata; Mammalia; Primates; Cercopithecidae.
UUCAUUAUGACACUGGUUACCUCUGAGCCUUCAGUGAGCUGCUGCUGGAUGAACGGACUGGAGGUGACCAUCUCCUUGGUGAGAGGCCAGGUCAGAGGACCUAAAUGCUGGUGGCCCUCACCAGCUGCACUGAAGCCCCUCUCCACUGGAAACAUGGGACAAGAGUCAAAUUCACAGGUCAAGGGUUGGGGUCUAGUCUGAUCACGUGUCUUUGGCCAAGGUCCUUACCAUCUCGAGGCUCAGUUUCUGAUACAUGAAAUGAAUGGGGUGCACUGGCCAACCUCAGGUUCUUCUCUGAUGCUUCCCUGACUGCUUGUGUGGGCCUCUUUUGGGUGGUGACCCCCUAGCUCGGCUGAGUGGCCAGGCCUCACAGGGUAGGCUGGAGAGGUCCCUGGGACACUGCUCCUGCUCCUCUGGGCUUGCCACCAUUCCUGUGACUCAGGCUUUGCUCUCUGCUAGGCUACCACCAUCUCUGCUCUGUACAGAUGCUUGGUGAACUGACACUGGAUUUUUUUUUUUCUUCAAGCAGGAGAACUGCAGUUGCUAGCGGUUUCUAGCAGCAGACACAGAAAGUCCCCUUGGAGCGGAACUUCUUUGUUUCUGGAAGGUCAUCAGGCCUUUGCAGUUAAACCAAUGCUAAACAAAUACACACUGCUACUCUUGCACUGGCCUUGGACUUGGAAAUCAUCUCAAACACAGACACUUCAGGCUGGUGUGUUUGCUCUCCUGUUUCAUAACAAUCACUGUCAAAAGGCUGUUGUAAGGCAGAGCAUCAGGGACAGGGGCCUCUGGGGUGUGGGAAGGACCUGAAAAUCUCUCUGUGGGGAGGGGCUGAGCUGAUCCUUCCCCUGGCACAUGGAAACCUGCUGGGGGAUGGCAGGGUCCCCUCCCCUGAGAUUGGGUUUAAAGCAUGUGGGUUCAGGAGAACCUGAGUUUAUAGGAGUAGUGAAAACUCUGUCGAUGUGUGGGAUGAGAGCGUCUUCUGGAGAGGGUGACAUGAUGGUGCACAGGCAUCCUGAGAGGUGGGAGAGGCGCUGGCUGAUGGACGGAGGUGACAGCUUCCGCUGCAUGCUGGCAACGCCGGAUACACUGGCUGCUGCUUUUCCCACCUCUGGCCUGGUGCUCGCCAAUGGGGUCUGCUGUGCGUGGCCAAUGCCUGUUCUUCUCCUUUCUGCCAUUGCUCUUGGCUUUAACAGGGUUCAGGACUUGCCACCCCAAAAUAUAGCACCUUGGCAUCAAGAAAACAGCAGAAGCAGGAAGGCGACAUUCCCCUUCCCCUCGCCUGUCUCCCCCGAAGCAGACCAUAGAAGAAUUCUCGGAUCUUUCUCUAAAGCAGUUCAUAAGACCCUCAUUCCAGAAGCAUCCUCCCUAUCCCUGGAGAAAAGGAGUGUCCUACAGAGACCCCAGGAAGAAUCUGAAUAAACAGGCCUUGCUAAGUCCCCCAGUUUAUUAGCAUAAGUCACACCCUCUUAUCCUCCAAUCCCAUGUCUGCAUGACUAUGCAUGAAGACAGUUUCCCCUGUUUCUUUGGGUCUUUAUUUCUGAAGGUUCCUGUGUCACAUGAAAUUUAUAGUAAAUACAUUUGUAUGCUGUUCUCUUGUUGACCUGGCUUUUGUUAUGGGGGUCUCAGCCACUAACUUUUUUUUUUUUUAAAGACAGAGUCUCGCUCUGUCACCCAGGCUGGAGUGCAGUGGUGUGAUUUCGGCUCACUGCAACCUCUACCUCCUGGGUUCAAGUGAUUCUCCUGCUCAGCCUCCUGAGUAGGUGGGAUUACACAGGCACCUGCCACCACACCCGGCUAAUUUUUGUAUUCUUAGUAGAAGUGGGGUUUCACCAUGUUGGCCAGGCUGGUCUUGAACUCCUGACCUCAAGUGAUCCACUGCCUCAGCCUCCCACAGUGCUGGGAUUACAGGUGUAGAACGCCACACCCAGCAGCCAUGAACCUUUCCAUAGGAAUUACCUUCUUCUUCCUCUAGCUUCCUCAGCACUCUGCUCUCUGCAGGCGCCUCUCCUUACGCCGCAUGCAUAAGGACCCCUAGGGAGGUUGUACUGUGGCUGCUCACAGUCUUGUUUAAGGAAUCUCUUAGGCAGAAUCCUUUCUCCUGACUCUGCUUGUGUCAUCUGUGAACCUCGAGGUGGCUUCCCUAGGCUGGGGCACAUGCCCUGGUCCCACAGCUAUGGCCCGAGUGACAGAGGUCCCAAGCAUCAAUCCCAGGGACUUAUUCACAAGGGCAUGGUGAGCGUUAUUCUCAGAGGGGAUGUCUACGAUCAGGCCCGGGGCACUCUCUGGCUUGCCUCGCUACUACACUAUGGUUUCUCUCUGCUCAGAGCCCACACUUUGCUGUGCAAACUUGUCAUUUGGUAAAUUAUCCUGCAUGCCCUGUGUUCCCUUUUUUCCCAUUUUCUUGAGAUUAGUUUCUCAUGUGUUUUUGGCUUGAUCUCCAAUCAAUGACAAAUCAUAUUUGUGCAUCAUUUUCUGGUUCACUUUCACAUGUGUAACUUGAGGGUGUGGACGUGAUCUUGCAGGCCUGAGGCCCCCAGUGUCUGACACGGUGAGCUCCCAAUGAAGAGAUGGCUGGCCUGGUUGCAUGAAGGUUGUCUUGAUGGGAUUCUUGUUCCGGGCAUAGAGUUGGACUCUUGGACAACCAAAAUACCACUUCUGGAGCUCCUGAGGCUCCAUAUUGCCUCCCCCUGGUGGGAAGGUAUUUAUAAAUACCUUUGUGCCUGGAGAGUAUUAUAAAAUGGGACUGUUUUCUUGGUCGUUGUUGGAGCAUAUUCAAGACAUUUUACAAUAAGAGAAAAUCAAGAAACAGGGCCAGUUAAUAUGGCGGUCCUAUUUUAGGCAAUAAGGCAAGUCCCAACAGAUACUACACAUCACUGGUAGGUCACAUUCUGUGAAUGCAAUGCAAUAGAAGUCAUUAACAAAAGACAGCAAAUAAAAGUGUCUAUACAUUCAGGGUUUUUUUCUUUCUUUUUCUUUUUUUUGAGAUGGGGUCACACUCUGCCACCCAGGCUGGAGCGGUGUAGUGGUGUCAUCAUGGCUCACUGCAGCCUCAAACUCCUGGGCUCAAGGGAUCCUCCUACCUCAGUCUCCCAAGUAGCUAAGACUACAGGCAUGUGCCACCGGGCCCAGCUAAUUAAAACUUUUUUUUCCUUUAGAGAUAGGUUCUCACUUUGUUGCCCAUGCUGGUAUAUUCAGGGAUUUUGAAAACAUAUUUAUUAAUAAUUCAAAUCAAAGAAAAAAUUGCAAUGGAAAUAAUGAAAUAUUUAUGAAUUAAUGACUACUGUGAAAUACUACAUUUCAAAACUUGUGGAUACAACUAAAAUCAAUUAGAGGAAACGUUUAGCUUUAAAUGUAUUCAUCAGAAAAGAAGAUGUUUUGAAAAUCAAAAAGUCAAGAGUUCAAUUUAAGGCCAGGCAUGGUGGAAUGGUUCACAUCUGUAAUCCCAGCACUUUGGGAGGCCAAGGCAGGAGGAUUGCUUGAAUCCAGGAGUUUGAGACCAGCCUGAGCAACGUAGCAAGAUCCCAUCUCUAAAAUUUUUUUUUUUUUUUGAGACAGAGUCUUGCUCUGUUGCCCAGGCUGGAGUGCAGGGGCGCAAUCUUGGCUCACUGCAAGCUCUGCCUCCUGGGUUCACGCCAUUCUCCUGCCUCAGCCUCCUAAGUAGCUGGGACUACAGGCAUCCGCCACCGCACCCGGCUAAUUUUUUGUAUUUUUAGUAGAGACGGGGUUUUACCGUGGUCUCGAUCUCCUGACCUUGUGAUCCGCCGCCUCGGCCUCCCAAAGUGCUGGGAUUACAGGCGUGAGACACCGCGCCCAGCCAAAAAAUUUUUUUAAAAAUUAGCUGGGCAUGGUGGCAUGCACCUGUAGUCCUAGCUACUCGGAAGAUCCCUUGAGCCCAGGAGUUCGAGGCUAUGUUUGCACCAUUGCACUCUGGCCUGGAUGACAGAGUGAGAUGCUGUCUCUUUAAAAAAAAAAAAUUCAACUUAAGAAGUUAGAAAAAUAACAGAAUAUAUAGCCAAAGAAGGAAAAAAGAUAAGGAUAAAAAUUAAUGGACUACAAAACAAAAAUAAUAUUAAAGAGACUCAGUAAAACCAAAACUGGUUCUUCAAAAAGACAAAUAAAACAGACCUCUGCAAAAAGAAAAAAGAGAAGUCACACAUAAACAAUGCUAGGAAUGAAAAGAAGAUGAUAACCAUGGAUACAAUAGAGACUUUGAAAAAUCAUGAUAAAAUACUAUAAACAAUUUAUGACUAUUUUACAUUUAUAUGAAAUGGAUUAUUUUCUAGAAAAAUAUAAAUUACUAAAGAAACUUAAACCAAUCUGAAUAUACCUGUAAGCAUUAGAGUACUUGAAUCAGUGGUCAAAAAUAUAACCUUCAUUCCCUCAAGUUAAUUAAGAUAGGAGGCCCAGAGAGUUUUACUGAGAAGGUUUGCCCACCUUUAAUGAAAAGAUAAACUUUCAUGUACAAACGGUUCCAGUGAGCAGGGGGAAAAACACAUCCAAACUCAUUUAAUGAGGUAGAUUAGUAAAAUGAAGAUGAAACCAGAACAGAACAGCACCACGUGGGGAAAUUUUCAGCCAGUCUCACUUAGGAACAGAAUUGCACAAAUUCAAAAUAAAAUAUUAGCAGAUUAAACCUAGAAAUGUAUUUAAAAGUAUAGCAUGGCUGGGCAUGGUGGCUCAUGCCUGUAAUCCCACACUUUGGGAGGUUGAAGAGGGUGGAUCCCUUGAGGUCAGGAGUUGGAGACCAGCCUGGCCAACAUGGCAAAACCCUGUCUCUACUAAAAAUACAAAAAUUAGCUGGGCAUAGUGGUGCAUGCUUGUAGUCCUAGCUACUCGGGAGGCUGAGGCAGGAGAAUCGCUUGAACCUGGGAGGCAGAGGUUGCAGUGAGCCAAGAUCGCGCCACUGCACUCCAGCCUGGGCAACAGAGCAACAACCUGUCUCAAAAAAAAAAAAAAAAAAAAUAACAUGACCAGGAAGGAAGGUGUUACCGCACAAACAAAAGGUUGAUUCAACAUCAGACAAUCUAUUAAAGAAAUGUACCACUUCAGCAGAUUAGUGGAGGAGACAACAUGAUUAUCUCAAGAGAUUAAAAAAAAGCAUUUACUAUAAGGAAGGAGACCACUACUACUCCUGCUGCCCUCCUCCCCCCACCUUGCCUAGUUCACAAGACAGGAGUAAAGAGAGAAAGAAACACAAGUAAGAUAAAUAGCCAGACAACCUUGGCACCAUCACCCGGCCCUAGAAGUUAAACAAAGUAAUAAUAAUAACAUCAACCCCUGGCCUAAACUACCUGUGUUAUCUGUAAAUUCCAGACACUGUAUGAAAAAAAGCAUUGUAAAACUUUCUGUUCUGUUAGCUGAUGCAUGUAGCCCCCAGUCCCAUUUCCCACGCUUGCUCGAUUUAUCACAACCCUUUCACGUGGGCCCCUUAAAGUAGUAAGUCUUUAAAAAGGCCAAGUAUUUCUUUCUUGGGGAGCUGGGCUCUUAAGACACGAGUCUGCCAACGCUCCCGGCCGAAUAAAAACCUCUUCCUUCUUUAAUCCGGUGUCUGAGGAGUUUUGUCCGUGGCUCGUUCUGCUACAGCUAUAAUUCGAUUAAAUUUAGUUAAAAAACAGAACCCAAAACAAAGAAAACAAAACAAAAAGCAAACCACCCAGGUUUCCAUGAUUACCUCUGUUCUCUGCUCCUGUCCAUUUCUUUCUUUCCUUGUCAUACUGUAUCUUUCCUGCUCUUCUUUUUCCUUUAGAAACUCACACGCUGUCAUGGGUAGUGCCUUUGCCUUGUUCCCUCUGCAUGGAAUAUUCUGGAAUAUUCUGUUCUCAGAGCUUCCCAGGGCUCCCUCUUGUCACUUAGGUAUCAACACAGCUGUCAUCUUCUGGGGCCUUGGUCAGACCCAUCUCUAAAUAACCAGCCCUCUAUUGCACGUUGCCCAGUUUUAUUUCUCCCUGAACAUUGAUGACGAACGUUGCCUUGUUCAUUUACAUGUUUGCUUAUUCAGGAUCUCGCACUUCAAACGCGAGUGUCCAGGACAGUGGGACCUUCCUUGUCUCUCCACUGCCCAGAACAAAACCGGGCACAUUUCAGGUGCCAAAAGAAAAGUUUGCUCCAUUAACUGGUUCUGUUUCC